This 253-nucleotide ribosomal RNA is filed under the name uncultured bacterium. RNAcentral's name for it is "partial 16S ribosomal RNA". It matches the Rfam family "Bacterial small subunit ribosomal RNA", at positions 524 to 776 of the family's 1533-position model. The record is from RNAcentral.
UACGUAGGGUGCGAGCGUUAAUCGGAAUCACUGGGCGUAAAGGGCGCGUAGGCGGCGCGGAAAGUCGUCGGUGAAAGCUCGGGGCUCAACCCUGAGUCUGCCGGUGAUACUCCCGCGCUCGAGCUCACUAGAGGCAGAUGGAAUUCCGGGUGUAGCGGUGGAAUGCGUAGAGAUCCGGAAGAACACCGGUGGCGAAGGCGGUCUGCUGGGGUGAGGCUGACGCUGAUGCGCGACAGCGUGGGGAGCAAACAGG